This 603-nucleotide ribosomal RNA is filed under the name Cryptococcus sp. SG02-001. RNAcentral describes it as "eukaryotic LSU rRNA". It matches the Rfam family "Eukaryotic large subunit ribosomal RNA", at positions 55 to 648 of the family's 3401-position model. The record is from RNAcentral. Lineage: Eukaryota; Fungi; Basidiomycota; Tremellomycetes; Tremellales; Cryptococcaceae.
GGAAAAGAAACUAACAAGGAUUCCCCUAGUAACGGCGAGUGAAGCGGGAAGAGCUCAAAUUUGAAAUCUGGUAGCCUUCGGUUGCCCGAGUUGUAAUCUAGAGAAGUGUUUUCCGCGUUGGCCCAUGUACAAGUCCCUUGGAACAGGGCGUCAUAGAGGGUGAGAAUCCCGUCCUUGACAUGGACCCCCAAUGCUUUGUGAUACACUUUCAACGAGUCGAGUUGUUUGGGAAUGCAGCUCAAAAUGGGUGGUGAAUUCCAUCUAAAGCUAAAUAUUGGCGAGAGACCGAUAGCGAACAAGUACCGUGAGGGAAAGAUGAAAAGCACUUUGGAAAGAGAGUUAAACAGUACGUGAAAUUGUUGAAAGGGAAACGAUUGAAGUCAGUCAUGCUCUUUGGUUUAAGCCGUUCUGCGGUGUAUAUCAUUGAGUGGGGUCAACAUCAGUUUUGACCGCUGGAAAAGGGCAGGAGGAAGGUAGCACCCCCGGGUGAACUUAUAGCCUCUUGUCGUAUACAGUGGUUGGGACUGAGGAACGCAGCAUGCCUUUUGGCCGGGAUUCGUCCACGUACAUGCUUAGGAUGUUGACAUAAUGGCUUUAAACGAC